AAGUCGUAACAAGGUUUCCGUAGGUGAACCUGCGGAAGGAUCAUUAACAAAUCCGCUGUUCAUUCCUGUGCUGGUGGGGAGGGGCUCGUCCACUCCUGCAUCUGUGCAGGGAUAACGUCUGUUCCGUGUGCACGUUCACUCUGCACACGACAUUUCUACGAAUCGUCUGAUCAUCACUGAAUCUACAAAUAACUUUUAACAAUGGAUCUCUAGGCUCUU
This 219-nucleotide unclassified non-coding RNA is filed under the name Rozellomycota sp. Its description in RNAcentral is "Cryptomycota sp. partial contains small subunit ribosomal RNA, internal transcribed spacer 1, and 5.8S ribosomal RNA". The stretch from base 1 to 46 matches the Rfam family "Eukaryotic small subunit ribosomal RNA", at positions 1786 to 1831 of the family's 1831-position model. The record is from RNAcentral. Lineage: Eukaryota; Fungi; Rozellomycota.